GAUGAGUUCUCUGGCUGAAUCAUGCAACCUAUUUCUCUAUAUUUUGUGAAAAUCUCUGAAGUGAGACUCUACCACCAUCUGAAAUUUGGGUCCUGUGUCCCUAACUCCAGUGGAUGUACAGAAAAUAUGCCCUUUACAAAAAAAAUCAAGUGAUUAAAAAAACCUCAACCAAUCACAGUUCUUUGUCUGCACAUUUGUUCCUGGUGUGAAUAUAAGCAGCUACUGAGGGCAGUUCAGUUGAACAAGUUAUAUCAGGGGUUCAUUGGAGACAUAUCUGAUGAAAACGUCAAAAGAAAGAAGAUCAACAGUAGCAAAAUUAUAAAGCCAAGAUGGAAGCUGGAAGCAUUCAAGGCAAAAACUAAAGGUCUGUGAAAAAGACCCUGGAGGCAACCUUUGGGGAAUUCUUCAACACUGACAGCCAAUGGCAGUUGUCUGAAAAUAUGGCAGCUGCAGACCAAAGACUUCAGGGGAAAUCUGGUAAAAAGCCUUAAAGGUUCCUGUGUGUUGGCAACUUCGUCAGAGUGGGACUCUGUGGUUUUAAUUAUUUAUUGUUUUAAUUUUGUUGUUAUGUUUUUGUGUUUUAUAUUUGAUUUUAUACUUUGUGUACUGUUGGGCCCGGUUCUCCAUGUAAGCCACCCCGAGUCCCUUUGGGGAGAUGGAGACAGGUUAUAAAAAUAAAGUUAUCAUUAUGGCACUCUUAUCAAACCCUCAGGAUGAGACCUGUCAUUCAUUUGUGGAGGAUCUUGAUAAAAUAAUUACCUUAAAAUUGGUGAAAGAAUGGUUUUUUUAACUUUUAUACACAGGUUCUUAUUGCUUUUAAGGGAUGAUCAGGUUUGCCUUUAUAGCACCUUUGUCCAUAUAUGGGAAGAGACCAAGCAGUGUAUGAAUAACUACCGGUAACUAAAACUUAGUGGUGCUGCUCAGUUCGGCACCUAACACCUCAAAAGAUGUUCAUAAAAACUUCAGUUUUCUUGCCACCAGUUUAAUUUCAGAUAUGUUACUAGAAACCAUUUCUUUUGUUCUAUAAUCUUUUCUAAAGUCAGGAAUAGUGGCUGCAGUGCAUUAUUUCUUUUCUGGAUUCCUGACUUUCUCCCUGUAAUCUUCACAGCAACACUUUAGAUGUUUAUCUCUAGUUUUCUAGCACCCUUUAAAAAAAUGUUUCCCAACACUAUGUAAGUCCAUUUUGUUUCUGGAUUAUAAAUGCCAUUUCCUUAUUGGUUAUAUCAUAAAAACAUUGAUAAAAGUUUGUUAAACUGCAAAAACUUUGCUUUUGUGGGACAUUUUGCUAUAGUUUUUCAAUUAAUAUCUCAUAGAGUCUCAGCUAAUUCAACAUAGUUUAUGGCAGCCAAAAAAACCAAAGUUUCUGGAGUUUAACAGCUACUUUCAAAGUAUCGCACAAUGAAACAGGAAUAACACUUUCAAACCAGGAACAGAAAAUAUUUCAAAUUUCAUUACAUAGUGUUAUAGUAUGACCCCAUUUUUUGCUUCUAGGAAGCCCCCUUGAAAUUUGACACAAAGCUGCCAACUGCAACUUGGCU
Anolis carolinensis (green anole) is the source of this 1538-nucleotide long non-coding RNA. RefSeq lists it as uncharacterized. NCBI's taxonomy places the organism in Eukaryota, Metazoa, Chordata, Lepidosauria, Squamata, Anolidae. The record is from RefSeq and is a predicted model, not a curated record. The transcript has 3 exons.